UACGUAGGGUGCAAGCGUUAAUCGGAAUUACUGGGCGUAAAGCGUGCGCAGGCGGUUUUGUAAGAUAGAUGUGAAAUCCCCGGGCUCAACCUGGGAAUUGCAUAUAUGACUGCAAGACUUGAGUUUGUCAGAGGAGGGUGGAAUUCCAAGUGUAGCAGUGAAAUGCGUAGAUAUUUGGAAGAACACCGAUGGCGAAGGCAGCCCUCUGGGACAUGACUGACGCUCAUGCACGAAAGCGUGGGGAGCAAACAGGAUUAGAUACCCCUGCUGACUGACU
This 277-nucleotide ribosomal RNA is filed under the name Sutterella wadsworthensis. Its description in RNAcentral is "partial 16S ribosomal RNA". It matches the Rfam family "Bacterial small subunit ribosomal RNA", at positions 524 to 799 of the family's 1533-position model. Lineage: Bacteria; Pseudomonadati; Pseudomonadota; Betaproteobacteria; Burkholderiales; Sutterellaceae. The record is from RNAcentral.